This 119-nucleotide ribosomal RNA is filed under the name Lepisosteus oculatus (spotted gar). Lineage: Eukaryota; Metazoa; Chordata; Actinopteri; Semionotiformes; Lepisosteidae. The record is from RNAcentral.
GCCAGCAUCCAUAUCACUCUGCAACUCAAAAAUGGCAGUCCACUGAAGCUCAGCAGGUGUGAGCCUGGUCAGUACCUGGAUGGGAGACCUCCUGGGAAAAACUAAGGUGGCUGUUGGAA